This 715-nucleotide ribosomal RNA is filed under the name uncultured bacterium. Its description in RNAcentral is "bacterial SSU rRNA". It matches the Rfam family "Bacterial small subunit ribosomal RNA", at positions 56 to 749 of the family's 1533-position model. The record is from RNAcentral.
UGCAGUCGUACGCGAAAGAAGGGCAACCUUCGAGUAAAGUGGCGCACGGGUGAGUAACACGUGGAUAACCUGCCCCAAAGUCUGGGAUAACGUGCCGAAAGGUGCGCUAAUACCGGAUACCUUUGUGCCUCACAAGAGGUAUAAAGAAAGGAGGCCUCUGCUUGCAAGCUUUCGCUUUGGGAUGGGUCCGCGGCCUAUCAGGUAGUUGGUAGGGUAACGGCCUACCAAGCCUACGACGGGUAGCUGGUCUGAGAGGACGAUCAGCCACAUUGGGACUGAGACACGGCCCAGACUCCUACGGGAGGCAGCAGUGGGGAAUAUUGGGCAAUGGGAGAAAUCCUGACCCAGCAACGCCGCGUGGAGGAUGAAGGCCUUCGGGUUGUAAACUCCUGUCAGCAGGGAAAAAGAUUGCAAAAGCUAAUACCUUUUGCAGUUUGAUGGUACCUGCUAAGGAAGCACCGGCUAACUACGUGCCAGCAGCCGCGGUAAUACGUAGGGUGCAAGCGUUAUUCGGAAUCACUGGGCGUAAAGGGCACGCAGGCGGUUUUGUAAGUCUAAAGUGAAAUCCUUGGGCUUAACCCAGGGGCUGCUUUAGAUACUGCAAAACUCGAGUUCGGGAAAAGCAAGCGGAAUUCCUGGUGAAGGGGUGAAAUCCGUAGAUAUCAGGAAGAACACCAGUGGCGAAAGCGGCUUGCUAGAACGCAACUGACGCUUA